This 75-nucleotide transfer RNA is filed under the name Fidelibacterota bacterium. Its description in RNAcentral is "tRNA-Glu". It matches the Rfam family "tRNA". From Rfam's summary of the family: Transfer RNA (tRNA) molecules are approximately 80 nucleotides in length. Lineage: Bacteria; Pseudomonadati; Fidelibacterota. The record is from RNAcentral.
GGCCCGUUCGUCUAGUGGUUAGGACUCAUGGUUUUCAUCCAUGCAACAGGAGUUCGAUUCUCCUACGGGCUACAA